GCCGAAGUGGCGGAAUGGCAGACGCGCUAGGUUCAGGACCUAGUGAGGAUUGACCUCGUGAGGGUUCAACUCCCUCCUUCGGCAUCA
Molecule: transfer RNA, 87 nt
Filed under: Chloroflexota bacterium
Lineage: Bacteria; Bacillati; Chloroflexota
Description: Chloroflexi bacterium (freshwater metagenome) tRNA-Leu
Rfam family: tRNA
About the family: Transfer RNA (tRNA) molecules are approximately 80 nucleotides in length. Their secondary structure includes four short double-helical elements and three loops (D, anti-codon, and T loops).
Source: RNAcentral